UACGGAGGGUGCAAGCGUUGUCCGGAUUUAUUGGGUUUAAAGGGUGCGUAGGUGGCUAUUUAAGUCAGUGGUGAAAGCCUGCAGCUUAACUGCAGGACUGCCAUUGAUACUGAAUAGCUUGAGUACUGAUGAGGUAGGCGGAAUUGAUAGUGUAGCGGUGAAAUGCAUAGAUAUUAUCAAGAACACCGAUUGCGAAGGCAGCUUACUAAGGAGUUACUGACACUGAGGCACGAAAGCGUGGGGAUCAAACAGG
This 253-nucleotide ribosomal RNA is filed under the name uncultured bacterium. Its description in RNAcentral is "partial 16S ribosomal RNA". It matches the Rfam family "Bacterial small subunit ribosomal RNA", at positions 524 to 776 of the family's 1533-position model. The record is from RNAcentral.